RNAcentral lists this ribosomal RNA (240 nucleotides) under uncultured bacterium. RNAcentral's name for it is "partial 16S ribosomal RNA". It matches the Rfam family "Bacterial small subunit ribosomal RNA", at positions 15 to 244 of the family's 1533-position model. The record is from RNAcentral.
AAUCAUGGCUCAGGAUGAACGCUAUCUACAGGCUUAACACAUGCAAGUCGAGGGGAAACGACAUCGAAAGCUUGCUUUUGAUGGGCGUCGACCGGCGCACGGGUGAGUAACGCGUAUCCAACCUGCCCAUCACUUGGGAAUAACCUUGCGAAAGUAAGACUAAUGCCCAAUGAUAUCCCACGAAGGCAUCCGAAUGGGAUUAAAGAUUUAUCGGUGAUGGAUGGGGAUGCGUCUGAUUAG